This 492-nucleotide ribosomal RNA is filed under the name uncultured bacterium. RNAcentral's name for it is "partial 16S ribosomal RNA". It matches the Rfam family "Bacterial small subunit ribosomal RNA", at positions 29 to 507 of the family's 1533-position model. The record is from RNAcentral.
AGUGAACGCUGGCGGUAGGCCUAACACAUGCAAGUCGAACGGCAGCACAGUAAGAGCUCGCUCUUACUGUUGGCGAGUGGCGGACGGGUGAGGAAUACAUCGGAAUCUACUUUUUCUUGGGGGAUAUCGUAGGGAAACUUACGCUAAUACCGCAUACUACCUACGGCUUAAAGCAGAGGAUCUUCGGACCUUGCGCGUUUCUAUUAGCCGAUGUCGGAUUAGCUAGUUGGCCGGGUAAGGGCCCACCAAGGCGACGAUCCGUAGCUGGUCUGAGAGGAUGAUCAGCCACACUGGAACUGAGACACGGUCCAGACUCCUACGGGAGGCAGCAGUGGGGAAUAUUCGACAAUGGGCGCAAGCCUGAUGCAGCAAUACCGCGUGAGUGAAGAAGGCCUUCGGGUUGUAAAGCCCUUUUGUUGGGAAAGAAAAGCAGCAGGUUAAUACCCCGCUGUUCUGACGGUACCCAAAGAAUAAGCACCGGCUAACUUCGUG